UACGUAGGGGGCAAGCGUUAUCCGGAUUUACUGGGUGUAGAGGGAGCGUAGACGGCGAUGCAGGUCUGAAGUGAAAGGCGGGGGCCCAACCCCCGGACUGCUUUGGAAACUGUAUGGCUGGAGUGCAGGAGAGGUAAGUGGAAUUCCUAGUGUAGCGGUGAAAUGCGUAGAUAUUAGGAGGAACACCAGUGGCGAAGGCGGCUUACUGGACUGUAACUGACGUUGAGGCUCGAAAGCGUGGGGAGCAAACAGG
Molecule: ribosomal RNA, 253 nt
Filed under: uncultured bacterium
Lineage: Bacteria
Description: partial 16S ribosomal RNA
Rfam family: Bacterial small subunit ribosomal RNA
Source: RNAcentral